Molecule: ribosomal RNA, 253 nt
Filed under: uncultured bacterium
Lineage: Bacteria
Description: partial 16S ribosomal RNA
Rfam family: Bacterial small subunit ribosomal RNA
Source: RNAcentral
UACGGGGGGGGCAAGCGUUGUUCGGAAUUACUGGGCGUAAAGGGUCCGUAGGUGGCUUGCUAAGUCAGACGUGAAAUCCCUCGGCUUAACCGGGGAACUGCGUCUGAGACUGGCGAGCUUGAGUGCAGGAGAGGAACGCGGAAUUCCAGGUGUAGCGGUGAAAUGCGUAGAUAUCUGGAGGAACACCGGUGGCGAAGGCGGCGUUCUGGACUGCAACUGACACUGAAAGACGAAAGCCAGGGGAGCAAACGGG